This 233-nucleotide ribosomal RNA is filed under the name Geminigera cryophila. RNAcentral's name for it is "partial Eukaryotic large subunit ribosomal RNA". It matches the Rfam family "Eukaryotic large subunit ribosomal RNA", at positions 1893 to 2141 of the family's 3401-position model. The record is from RNAcentral. Lineage: Eukaryota; Cryptophyceae; Pyrenomonadales; Geminigeraceae.
GAAUAAUGUAGGUAAGGGAAGUCGACAAAAUAGAUCCGUAACUUCGGGACAAGGAUUGGCUCUAAGGGUUGGAUAAAAUGAAUUUAGAUACACGGCCAUUCCUGCCUCAAACUCGACGGCGUCAGAUUGGUGGCGGUUCGGACUGUUUAUUUAGCGGAUAUUGAUUCAAUAACUGUCAUUUUGUGUAAGAACAACCAUCUUAGAACUGGUACGGACAAGGGGAAUCCGACUGU